UGGCGGACGGGUGAGUAACGCGUGGAAAACCUGCCGUAUACUGGGGGAUAACACUUAGAAAUAGGUGCUAAUACCGCAUAAGCGCGCAGCUUCGCAUGAAGCGGUGUGAAAAACUCUGGUGGUAUACGAUGGUUCCGCGUCUGAUUAGCUUGUUGGCGGGGUAACGGCCCACCAAGGCGACGAUCAGUAGCCGGCCUGAGAGGGCGGACGGCCACAUUGGGACUGAGACACGGCCCAGACUCCUACGGAAGGCAGCAG
RNAcentral lists this ribosomal RNA (258 nucleotides) under uncultured bacterium. Its description in RNAcentral is "partial 16S ribosomal RNA". It matches the Rfam family "Bacterial small subunit ribosomal RNA", at positions 96 to 354 of the family's 1533-position model. The record is from RNAcentral.